GCAGUCGAACGAUAGUUACCAGCUUGCUGGUAGCGAAAGUGGCGCACGGGUGCGUAACGCGUAUGCAACCUACCUUAAUCAGGGGGAUAGCCCGAAGAAAUUCGGAUUAACACCGCAUAAAAUCACAGUACAGCAUUGUACAAUGAUCAAAUAUUUAUAGGAUUAAGAUGGGCAUGCGUGACAUUAGUUAGUUGGCGGGGUAACGGCCCACCAAGACCACGAUGUCUAGGGGAUCUGAGAGGAUGACCCCCCACACUGGUACUGAGACACGGACCAGACUCCUACGGGAGGCAGCAGUAAGGAAUAUUGGUCAAUGGAGGCAACUCUGAACCAGCCAUGCCGCGUGCAGGAAGACAGCCCUCUGGGUCGUAAACUGCUUUUAUUCGGGAAUAAACCACAUUACGUGUAGUGUGCUGAAUGUACCGAAGGAAUAAGGAUCGGCUAACUCCGUGCCAGCAGCCGCGGUAAUACGGAGGAUCCAAGCGUUAUCCGGAUUUAUUGGGUUUAAAGGGUGCGUAGGCGGCUUUUUAAGUCAGGGGUGAAAGACGGUGGCUCAACCAUCGCAGUGCCCUUGAUACUGAAGAGCUUGAAUGAAUUAGAGGUAGGCGGAAUGUGACAAGUAGCGGUGAAAUGCAUAGAUAUGUCACAGAACACCGAUUGCGAAGGCAGCUUACUAUGAUUUUAUUGACGCUGAGGCACGAAAGCGUGGGGAUCAAACAGGAUUAGAUACCCUGGUAGUCCACGCCCUAAACGAUGAAUACUCGCUGUUAGCGAUACACAGUUAGCGGCUAAGCGAAAGCGUUAAGUAUUCCACCUGGGGAGUACGGUCGCAAGAUUGAAACUCAAAGGAAUUGACGGGGGCCCGCACAAGCGGAGGAGCAUGUGGUUUAAUUCGAUGAUACGCGAGGAACCUUACCCGGGCUUGAAAGUUAGUGAAUCAUUUAGAGAUAGAUGAGUCCGCAAGGACACGAAACUAGGUGCUGCAUGGCUGUCGUCAGCUCGUGCCGUGAGGUGUUGGGUUAAGUCCCGCAACGAGCGCAACCCCUAUGUUUAGUUGCCAGCACGUCAUGGUGGGGACUCUAAACAGACUGCCUGUGCAAACAGAGAGGAAGGAGGGGACGACGUCAAGUCAUCAUGGCCCUUACGUCCGGGGCUACACACGUGCUACAAUGGAUGGUACAGAGGGCAGCAAGCUGGUAACAGCAAGCAAAUCUCCAAAAGCCAUUCACAGUUCGGAUAGAGGUCUGCAACUCGACCUCUUGAAGUUGGAUUCGCUAGUAAUCGUAUAUCAGCAAUGAUACGGUGAAUACGUUCCCGGGCCUUGUACACACCGCCCGUCAAGCCAUGGAAGUUGGGGGUACCUAAAGUAUGUAACCGCAAGG
Molecule: ribosomal RNA, 1382 nt
Filed under: Pedobacter himalayensis
Lineage: Bacteria; Pseudomonadati; Bacteroidota; Sphingobacteriia; Sphingobacteriales; Sphingobacteriaceae
Description: bacterial SSU rRNA
Rfam family: Bacterial small subunit ribosomal RNA
Source: RNAcentral